This 1336-nucleotide long non-coding RNA is filed under the name Salmo salar (Atlantic salmon). RNAcentral describes it as "lncRNA (ENSSSAG00000086577.1)". Lineage: Eukaryota; Metazoa; Chordata; Actinopteri; Salmoniformes; Salmonidae. The record is from RNAcentral.
GUGGGUCCACAGAAAUAAACUGAGAUGCCAGGGUUUUUCUUUGUUUUUACUAUUUUCUACAUUUUAGAAUAAUAGUCAAGACAUAAACACUAUGAAAUAACACAUGGAAUCAUGUAGUAACCAUAAGUGUUAAACAAAUCAAAAUAUAUUUUUAAUUCUUCAAAGUAGCCACCCUUUGCCUUGAUGACAGCUUUGCACACUCUUGGCAUUCUCUCAACCAGCUUCACCUGGAAUGCUUUUCCAACAGCCUGUAAGGAGUUCCCACAUAUGCUGAGCACUUGUUGGCUGCUUUUCCUUCACUCUGCGGUCCAACUCAUCCCAAACCAUCUCAGUUGGGUUGACGUCUGGGGAUUUUGGAGGCCAGGUCAUCUGAUGCAUCACUCUCCUCCUUUAAUAAAAUAGCCCUUACGCAGCCUGCCGGUCUGUUCGGUCAUUGUCCUGUUGAAAAACAAAUGAUAGUCCCACUAAGCCCAAACCAGAUGGGAUGGCGUAACCAGCAUUCUGCAGCGAUAAGUGUUUCUUAAAUUCUAAAUAAAUCACAGACAGUGUCACCAGCAAAGCACCCCCACAUCAUAACACCUCCUCCAUGCUUUACGGUGGGAAAUACACAUGCGGAGAUCAUCCAUUCACCCACACCGCGUCUCACAAAGCACAGCGGUUGGAACCAAAAAUCCAGACCAAAGGACAAAUUUCCACCGGUCUCAUGUCCAAUGCUCGUGUUUCUUGGCCCAGGCAAGUCUCUUCUUCUCAUUGGUGUUCUUUAGUAGUGAUUUCUUGGCAGCAAUGCGACCAUGAAGGCCCGAUUCACACAGUAUCCUCUGAACACUUAAUGUUGAGAUGUCUGUUACUUGAACUCUGUGAAGCAUUUAUUUGGGCUACAAUUUCUGAUAACUUUAAUGAACUUAUCCUCUGCAGCAGAAGUAACUCUGGGUCUUCCAUUCUUGUGGUGGUCCUCAUGAGAGCCAGUUUCAUCAUAGCCCUUGAUGUUUUUUUGCGACUGCACCCCCCCCCCACCUUGUCACAACACAACUGAUUGGCUCAAAUGCAUUAAGAAGGAAAGAAUUUCCACAAAUGAACUUUUAACAAGGCACACCUGUUCAUUGAAAUGCAUUCCAGGUGACUACCUCAUGAAGCUGGUUGAGAGAAUGUGAAGAGUGCAAAGCUGUCAUCAAGGCAAAGGGUGGCUACUUUGAAGAAUCUCAAAUAUAUUUUGAUUUGUGUAACACUUUUUUUGGUUACUACAUGAUUCCAUAUGUGUUAUUUCAUAGUUUUGAUGUCUUCACUAUUAUUCUACAAUGUAGAAAAUAGUCAAAAUAAAGAAAAACCAUGAAUGAGU